Non-coding RNA from Rattus norvegicus (Norway rat), 3450 nucleotides. The record is from RefSeq and is a predicted model, not a curated record. Lineage: Eukaryota; Metazoa; Chordata; Mammalia; Rodentia; Muridae.
AAAACCACGCAGCUGGUCAGGAUGUAAACAAGUGAGGGGCAACAUUCCAGCCCCAGCAAGCAGCAGAACUUGGCGCCUUUCUUCUGGCUUUUCAAUCUCUCCCCCUUCGCUUGUCCAGAGGGUCCCUCCAUGGAGAAGCAGAGAGGCCAUUGAGCAAGGCUGGAAGAGUGAAUCCUGGAUUUCGAUGGAGAACCCAACAUUGGGAGAUGUCAGAGUCUCCAGGUUUUCCCAAGGACAGCUGCUAACAGGUGUGAACCAGCCAGAGAGAGGGGGGGGGCAGACGGGGGGGGAGAGAGAGAGAGAGAGAGAGAGAGAGAGAGAGAGAGAGAGAGAGAGAGAGAGGGAGAGGGAGAGGGAGAGAGAGAGGGAGAGGGAGAGAGAGAGAGAGAGAGGUGUGGUGCAGCCAACAGAGCUGGCAGGAGUUGGGAUCUGAAGAGAGCUUUGGCAUCAGACAUGGGGAUGUAGGCUGCAGUUUGACCAGCUGGAUUUUAGUCUGUGAUCCAGCAUUUCCUCAGUUUGCUCCAUUUUUUCCUUUUGAAACAGAAAUGUGCAUCCUGUGCCAUUGUAUAUAUGAACUAUGUGGCCCGCUUUUUUAUUUUCUUUAUAGAGGGGUUGCAGCUAAGAGAUUGCCUUGAGUCUCAGAAGAGACUGUAAACUUUGAACUAACCACAGUGUUGAGACUGACGGACUCUGGGAACUUUCAAAGUUGGACUCAAUGUCUUUUGUUAUUAUGAUAUGGCUACAAUACUAUAGGGACAGGUCACAGGAGGAAGAGGGGGGUGUUUGCGGGGUGGGUCUCGCCACUCACAGCCUCAUGCUCACACUGGCUGAGGCCUUUUUCCACCAUCAUCUCCCGGCCCGGCCUCGGGGGAGCCAGAUACAAGGGAGUCCGCUACUCUACUCUUAAAAAAAAAAAAUGGAGGAAAGAAAAACUGGGUGUCUGUGCGCUGGUGGGAAUGGAUCUGCAAGCAUACAGAAGCACCAGCAGGGGGCGCAGAGAGCUCGGCGUUUGUGAGUUCAAGAGCUGAGUUUGAUGCAGCCCUGGAAAGCCAACAACCACCCUGGCAGGGAGAUAUUUGAUGCAGUCAGGGCUCUCCACAGCUCUGAGGUUGAACUGCAGAGAGACAAGCCUUGCCUCAAAUUCUCUGCUUGCAGCUCUGUGACUUCUCAAUGCAGCCAUCACCCAGGGUGCAGGCAGCAGAGCUGCGACCAGAUGCAGAGUUCAAAGUCUCAGGAACCCUGCUCUUCCUGGCUCUUGAAGACUCAUAGCUCAACCUCCCAGGGUGCUUGGGUAGACACCACCUGCAUCUCAUGCCUAAACUGCCACCUUGUAUUCCGGAUGCAGGAGCUGUCAAGGCAGUUACAUGAGGCCCUGAGAACCACACCUGCUGAUGGGGCUUCAGCUUGGCCUACAUCUUGCUGAGCCAGCACCUCAUGGCCAGACAGGAUCAUGAACACUUAGCACUGCCUGCUGUACAAAAAACUUCAAAACAGUCACAAGUACAGUCUAGAGGAUCUGAGGGUCUCCUCGUGCCUGGUUUGCAUAAAACAAGGGGCCCUUCUUGCAGUUCCUUGGAUUCAGUUUUCUGUAGACCUUGGGGACCAUGACCAUCUGGUCAGAACCUGUACUGAGCACACCCUUGGACCAAGACUCCUACCAAAGAGUACCAGAAGACAAUACUGGCAUGGGGUCCGCACAGUAACAGUGCUCCUGAGAGGUUGGAGAGAAGUCAGGCUAACAAGGGAAGAAGUUGCAGCAGGAAGGAAAUAACAAGAAGCUGACAGGCUGCUGCUGGUGUGCAAGGCUGUUACUUCCCCAGUGCAGGGGGAACCUGUCAGAAGCCAGGUGGCUUCCAAGCCCUCACCGUCCUGUUGAGAGCCGGUGCAUAGAAAAUGCCAUAAAACUCUCUGUGAUUGCAAGUUACAAAGUCUAGGACUUUAUACAACUGUCUUUCGCUCGCCCUAACCAGAGGAUGGGAAACAUGGUGCCCAGCGCCCUCCUUCUCCUCCUGGCGACGUCGCCAGGCGAGACCCAGACCUGCUCAGGGUCACACUCUCUGCGGUAUUUCUACACCGCCCUGUCCCGACCUGCACCCGGCGAGUCCUGGUACAUCGCUGUGGGCUACGUGGACGACACACAGUUCGUGCGCUUCAACAGCGCAGGGGAGAGUGCGAGAUAUAAGCUACGUGCGUCCUGGGUGGAGCAGGAGGGCCCCGAGUAUUGGCAGAAGGAGACAGAGAUCGUCACAAGCAAUGCACAGUUUUUCCGAGGAAACCUACAGACCAUGCUUGACUACUACAACCUGAGCCACGACGGCUCUCACAUCAUCCAGGUGAUGUAUGGCUGUGACGUGGAAUCCGAUGGGAGCCUCCUCCGCGGUUAUGAGCAGUAUGCCUACGAUGGCCGAGAUUACAUCACCCUCAACGAAGAUCUUAAGACUUGGACAGCAGAGGACAGGGCGGCGCAGAUCACCAGACUCAAGUGGGAGCAGGCUGGUUAUGCAGAGCUCCGCAGGACCUACUUAGAGGGCCCAUGCAAGGAUUCGCUGCUCAGAUACCUAGAGAAUAGAAAAGAGAUGCUGCAGUGUACAGAUCCUCCAAAGGCACAUGUGAGCCAUCACCCCGGACAUGAAGGUGAUGUCACCCUGAGGUGCUGGGCCCUGGGCUUCUACCCUGCUGACAUCACUCUGAUCUGGAAGAAGGAGGAGGAGGAACUGAACCAAGAGAUGGAGCUUAUACAGACCAGGCCUGCAGGGGAUGGGACUUUUCAGAAGUGGGCAGCUCUGGUGGUGCCUUCUGGGGAGGAGCAGAAGUACACAUGUCAUGUGUACCAUGAGGGGCUACCUGAGCCCCUCACCCUGAGAUGGGAGCCUCCUCAGUCCAGAAUGCGGACCAGGGUCAUUGUUGGUGCUGUCCUUGGUGCUAUGGCCAUCUUAGGUUUUAUGACUGGAGGUGCUGUGAUGUGCAUGAGAAAGAACAAGGGAGGAGACAGAGAUUAUGAUCCUGCUGCCGUCACAAUGUGAGGGAACAGUUGUCCCUGAGGCAAGGAAAGUUCCUGACCUCUCUCAGGACACUUGAAAAGCUGCCUGGUGGAACCCAGUGGCAAGUUCUGACAUAGAAACAGUGGAUUCCCUUUGGACAUCAAUGUCUGUGGAUUUAUGCUUUUGGCUGUGGACACAAUGGGGAAAUCUGAAGAGCCCAGCCCACCCCUGUACUCCAGGACCCUGUCUGUGCACUGCCUGUCUUCCCUGGCAUAGCCAACCUUAGACAGCAGAAGACAUCUGCAUCCAGUCAGCGCCAUGUUGCCCUGGGCUGCAGCUCCUCACUUCCACACAGAAAUAAGGAUCUGAAUGUGAACUCCUUGACCUGAGCCGUUCACUGGUGGGGAAGUUACUGGAUUGAGAACACUCAGAGUAUUGCGAAGGAAAUAAAUGGCAGAUGGAGAACCUA